Molecule: ribosomal RNA, 369 nt
Filed under: uncultured bacterium
Lineage: Bacteria
Description: bacterial SSU rRNA
Rfam family: Bacterial small subunit ribosomal RNA
Source: RNAcentral
UGCAAGUCGAGCGGUAACAGAUCCAGCUUGCUGGAUGCUGACGAGCGGCGGACGGGUGAGUAAUGCAUAGGAAUCUGCCCGAUAGUGGGGGAUAACCUGGGGAAACCCAGGCUAAUACCGCAUACGUCCUACGGGAGAAAGGGGGCUCCGGCUCCCGCUAUGGGAUGAGCCUAUGUCGGAUUAGCUAGUUGGUGAGGUAACGGCUCACCAAGGCCACGAUCCGUAGCUGGUCUGAGAGGAUGAUCAGCCACAUCGGGACUGAGACACGGCCCGAACUCCUACGGGAGGCAGCAGUGGGGAAUAUUGGACAAUGGGGGAAACCCUGAUCCACCCAUGCCGCGUGUGUGAAAAAGGCCCUCGGGUUGUAAA